GCACGGGUGCUGUUCGGGUAUCUCGCUGAUAUCCUGUUUUUUCUCAAACGCAAACUAAUCCCUCUGCCGCGUAGCGCGAAGUCAUCCCAUCACGCCAACGCCGACUCUACGCCAGCCCUCAAUAACCCUUUCACAGGCCCCUCCCCCACCCCCGGGUAGGCCAGUGUGAGGGGCCGGCCGCGAUGCGCUCGAGCCGCGCUGACACGCUCUGCCCAUCAUAUGGACGGUGCAAACCUGCGCUCACUGUCGCGUGUGGCCCCGACGCAACGCCAUGCACGACAUGGCCGCUGACGUCCGUAGCCCUAACUCGCGCUCUGCCGGGGCACUCCCUGACGUCACAGAUGCUCGGCCCUGGUCGCCACCACAGGUGGUUCUGGCAUGGGCCGGGACGGCGGAGGGAGGAGUGAGGGGUGGGUGGGUGGGCGCCCUGGCGCCUGAGGCACCCCCCCCCCCACGCACGGAGGUGUGGGCGUGUGUGUGUGUCUGUGCGCCGCCGCCCCGUCAUCAGCGAGGAGGCGGCGGCUGGAGUCAGCAGCUAACCAAAGAAUCAAGACGAUCGACAGCCACGGCAAGUCAAGCGCCGACGAAGCCGUUGUUCUCUUCUCGCCUUCGGCCCUUUUCCUACCUCCCUCCCUCGUCGGUUCUGUCGCGGAAGGCGGCCCGAGGCGGAAGGGGGCCUUCCGCAGCACGCAUGACCGCCGAGUCUCGUGAUGAUCCCUGCCCUCUUUCACAUCCUGCCAGACGGCUUUGCUCUCUCUCUCUCUCUGUGCCCUCACGGAGGGAGGGAGGAGGAGGAGGGGGGGGGCCACCACCUCAGCAGGCCACCAGCACGCACUGGUUCUCUGUCAUCACACACCUCUCGCGCUAAGACAAGGUUUGCCGCCUCCCUCCCACCACCACCACUACCACCCCCACCUGGUGCUGGUCUCCCUGCUACGGCAGCGGCGGCUGCCCGCUCGUUCAUCCCGUCUCCCUUAUCCUCCUGCCCCUUCCGCCCUUCCUCCUCUCUACACGGAUAUUGCGGUUUGUCGCCUCUUGCGCUCGCCGACCCGCCCCCACCCGCCACCCUAACGGCAACAG
RNAcentral lists this unclassified non-coding RNA (1080 nucleotides) under Leishmania donovani. Its description in RNAcentral is "gene:unknown". The record is from RNAcentral. Lineage: Eukaryota; Euglenozoa; Kinetoplastea; Trypanosomatida; Trypanosomatidae.